AACUUUUAACAAUGGAUCUCUUGGCUCUCGCAACGAUGAAGAACGCAGCGAAAUGCGAUACGUAAUGUGAAUUGCUUUCCGUGAAUCGUUGAAUCUUUGAACGCAUAUUGCACUCCUUUGGAGUAUGCCUGUUUGAGAAUCGUCUUUAUUCUCGCGAGAGGAGGUCGAGUGUCCCGUUUGGGUGCUUGGAAAUGCAAAAAGGCGCCAGCGCACGCCGUGUGUGAGUGAACGAUUUCGCUUCUCGAAUGCGGCCGUGUGCUUGUGUCUGUGCGGUUGAGGUUGAAUGACUAGUGACUAGUGACUAGUAGCCGAGUCUCCUAGCUCCUAGCCGACCUCGACAAAACUAUUCUAGAUCUCAAAUCAGGCAGGAAGACCCGCUGAACUUAAGCAUAUCAAUAAGCGGAGGCU
Molecule: unclassified non-coding RNA, 408 nt
Filed under: uncultured Rhizophydium
Lineage: Eukaryota; Fungi; Chytridiomycota; Chytridiomycetes; Rhizophydiales; Rhizophydiaceae
Description: sequence contains ITS2
Rfam family: 5.8S ribosomal RNA (bases 1-142)
Source: RNAcentral